This 782-nucleotide ribosomal RNA is filed under the name Adansonia digitata. RNAcentral describes it as "eukaryotic LSU rRNA". The stretch from base 367 to 522 matches the Rfam family "5.8S ribosomal RNA". Lineage: Eukaryota; Viridiplantae; Streptophyta; Magnoliopsida; Malvales; Malvaceae. The record is from RNAcentral.
GGAAGGAGAAGUCGUAACAAGGUUUCCGUAGGUGAACCUGCGGAAGGAUCAUUGUCGAAAGCUUGCCCCGCAAACCGACCCGCGAACACGUUAGUUAACAACACCGCCGGGGGGUGAGGGUGCCAUCGCGCCCCGAGCCCCCUCGGCACCCGCGGGUGCGCGGCCGGGCCUCGCCACGCCUUCGUGGCGGGCGGGAUGCUCGGUCACGUCGCUCGCGGCCUAACAACGAACCCCCGGCGCGAGUCGCGCCAAGGAAUCGGAAAAUACGAUGAAAAGAGCACGUCCCGCUGCCAGCCGGCCCCGUUCGCGGUGUCCGCGCGGGCAGCGACGUGACUCCCGUGUCGCGAAAGAGAUAAAACACGAAAUGACUCUCGGCAACGGAUAUCUCGGCUCUCGCAUCGAUGAAGAACGUAGCGAAAUGCGAUACUUGGUGUGAAUUGCAGAAUCCCGUGAACCAUCGAGUCUUUGAACGCAAGUUGCGCCCGAGGCCAUUAGGCCGAGGGCACGUCUGCCUGGGUGUCACGCAUCGUCGCCCCCUCCAAUCCGUCGGCCCCCCGGGGUGCGGAUGAGGCGGGGGCGGAAAAUGGCCUCCCGUGCGCUCCUCGCUCGCGGUUGGCUUAAAAUCGAGUCCUCGGCAACGGCAGAGCGCCGCGACGAUCGGUGGUGACGCCUCGAGCGCGCCUCGUCCCUCGGUCGCGUGCGCUUUCGUUGCCCCGGACCCAUCGAGACCCUGCUAGCGUCGCGCAAGCGUCGCACGCAUCGCGACCCCAGGUCAGGCGGGA